GACGAACGCUGGCGGCGUGCUUAACACAUGCAAGUCGAACGGAAAGGCCCUGCUUUUGUGGGGUGCUCGAGUGGCGAACGGGUGAGUAACACGUGAGUAACCUGCCCUUGACUUUGGGAUAACUUCAGGAAACUGGGGCUAAUACCGGAUAGGAUCUCCUGCUGCAUGGGGGGGAUUGGAAAGUUUCGGCGGUUGGGGAUGGACUCGCGGCUUAUCAGCUUGUUGGUGGGGUAGUGGCUUACCAAGGCUUUGACGGGUAGCCGGCCUGAGAGGGUGACCGGCCACAUUGGGACUGAGAUACGGCCCAGACUCCUACGGGAGGCAGCAGUGGGGAAUAUUGCACAAUGGGCGGAAGCCUGAUGCAGCAACGCCGCGUGCGGGAUGACGGCCUUCGGGUUGUAAACCGCUUUCGCCUGUGACGAAGCGUGAGUGACGGUAAUGGGUAAAGAAGCACCGGCUAACUACGUG
RNAcentral lists this ribosomal RNA (468 nucleotides) under uncultured bacterium. RNAcentral's name for it is "partial 16S ribosomal RNA". It matches the Rfam family "Bacterial small subunit ribosomal RNA", at positions 28 to 507 of the family's 1533-position model. The record is from RNAcentral.